GAUGAACGCUGGCGGCGUGCCUAAUACAUGCCAGUCGAGCGAACGGACGAGAAGCUUGCUUCUCUGAUGUUAGCGGCGGACGGGUGAGUAACACGUGGAUAACCUACCUAUAAGACUGGGAUAACUUCGGGAAACCGUAGCUAAUACCGGAUAAUAUUUUGAACCGCAUGGUUCAAAAGUGAAAGACGGUCUUGCUGUCACUUAUAGAUGGAUCCGCGCUGCAUUAGCUAGUUGGUAAGGUAACGGCUUACCAAGGCAACGAUGCAUAGCCGACCUGAGAGGGUGAUCGGCCACACUGGAACUGAGACACGGUCCAGACUCCUACGGGAGGCAGCAGUAGGGAAUCUUCCGCAAUGGGCGAAAGCCUGACGGAGCAACGCCGCGUGAGUGAUGAAGGUCUUCGGGUCGUAAAACUCUGUUAUUAGGGAAGAACAUAUGUGUAAGUAACUGUGCACAUCUUGACGGUACCUAAUCAGAAAGCCACGGCUAACUACGUG
RNAcentral lists this ribosomal RNA (497 nucleotides) under uncultured bacterium. RNAcentral's name for it is "partial 16S ribosomal RNA". It matches the Rfam family "Bacterial small subunit ribosomal RNA", at positions 28 to 507 of the family's 1533-position model. The record is from RNAcentral.